Molecule: long non-coding RNA, 779 nt
Organism: Hyla sarda
Lineage: Eukaryota; Metazoa; Chordata; Amphibia; Anura; Hylidae
Exons: 3
Source: RefSeq, a predicted model, not a curated record
CUCUUCCUCUACACUGGUUUUGAUGAAUCUCCCCCAUUGUGUGUACUGUACAGGACCCUGAAGAAGCUCCUGUCCUCUACAUAGACAGUGAUUUACAGCUCCCAGCAGAUCCUUCUUACUUUUAUAUAUGCUUUGAAGAAGUCAUUAGAGUUAUGAGAGCAGAGUUAUGGGAGUGAAUGAACAGGUUUUCCACUGUGAAACAAGUGCAUAACCAGAGGGACUGUAACCCAAGUGCCCUCAUACCGUAGGAGACCAAGAGACCUCUUUGCCAUAUAAGAAAAUGGAACUUUAGGAAAGCAGAGUAUUUACCUCUUGAGAGACUCUGUAAAUACAGGAAAACAGGUCCAUGCAGGAACAAGAUACAAAAUUACCAACAGUAGAAAGAGAAGUCUAUGUCAAUAAGAAUAGUAAUCAAACAGAAGGGAAAAUCCCAUCCCCUACAGUGACAUCUCUCGUCUGUAAAAAUGGCUAAAAGAAGCCUAUAGGGCCAGAGUACCUAAAGCAAAGAACAGCAGGUCGGACACAAAACAAAUGGAGCAAAAGAGAGGAAGUCCAGGAGCAAACACCAAGAGCGACCUGUAAUGUACAGGGGAAUAUGCCGGAGGCCCAGAGAAACUGAUUGUAACUAGAAAAAGGUUUCCGAAAAUGUAAGGGCCCUAACUCCAGACUAUUCCACGGUAUAUUAAAAAAGGCAAACAAUAUCAGCUAUCCCCUGAGCCUUCUAGUGUGUCACAAUAAAAUAUUUUAUUUCUGAAAAAAAUUCUGGGUGCUGGUAUGUU